Molecule: transfer-messenger RNA, 394 nt
Filed under: Flavobacteriaceae
Lineage: Bacteria; Pseudomonadati; Bacteroidota; Flavobacteriia; Flavobacteriales
Also listed under: 1 other name
Description: SHLJ01 sp013001965 Standard tmRNA
Rfam family: transfer-messenger RNA
About the family: Bacterial tmRNA, also known as 10Sa RNA or SsrA, is named for its dual tRNA and mRNA-like properties. Its role is to liberate the mRNA from a stalled ribosome.
Source: RNAcentral
GGGGUCGACUGGUUUUGACAGCGAGUUGAACUGAUUUGUAAGCACGUCGUGUAAUGAUAUAGACCCACGUAAAAAGCUAGAUCAAACUUUAAACGGCGAGAAUAACUACGCUUUAGCUGCAUAAUCUGAAUUAUAGUAAGAUUAGCUUCGUUCCUACCAGGUAGGAAAGCUUUAUGUCUCUUGAAAGCCCUGGUUAACGGCGUUCUGUUCGAGGCAUCGUAAAUGUAAACCUAGAAAAUGUAAUGUUUCGAUACAUUUUUGAAACUAAAGAAACUAAGUUAUGAGUAUGCAGUUCUUAGUGAGCUCAUGAUCGAAAAUUAAAUAAGAACUAAGCGUGUAGAAAACCUUUUAGUGGCUUGUUUGGACGAGAGUUCGAUUCUCUCCGGCUCCACGA